Long non-coding RNA from Sapajus apella (tufted capuchin), 375 nucleotides. RefSeq lists it as uncharacterized. The transcript has 4 exons. Lineage: Eukaryota; Metazoa; Chordata; Mammalia; Primates; Cebidae. The record is from RefSeq and is a predicted model, not a curated record.
AAGAGGAUGAAAAGACAAAAUACAGAGUACGAGAAAAUAUUUGCUAACCACAGAUCUGACAAAGACUAGUAUCUAGUCUUUGUCACUCAAAACUCAACAAUAAAAAAGCAAACCAUCCAUUUAGAACAUGAAAAAAUAGGUAUUUCAUUAAAGAAGUUGUACAGAUGGCAAGCAAGCUCAUAAAACAAUGUUCAACAUCAUUAGCCAUUAGAGAAAUGAAAAUGAAAACCACAAUGAGACAUCACUACACAAAUGUCAGAAUGGCUAAAAUAAAAUAGUGACAUCAAACGCUGGCCAGGAUGCAGAGAAACUACAUCACUCAUCCAUUGCUGGUGGGAAUGUAAAAUGGUACAGACACUUGUGAAAUUUUGAAAG